Molecule: ribosomal RNA, 385 nt
Filed under: uncultured bacterium
Lineage: Bacteria
Description: bacterial SSU rRNA
Rfam family: Bacterial small subunit ribosomal RNA
Source: RNAcentral
AUUGAACGCUGGCGGCAUGCUUUACACAUGCAAGUCGAACGGUAACAGGCCGCAAGGUGCUGACGAGUGGCGAACGGGUGAGUAAUGCAUCGGAACGUGCCCAGUCGUGGGGGGAUAACGCAGCGAAAGCUGCGCUAAUACCGCAUACGAUCUAAGGAUGAAAGCGGGGGACCGAAAGGCCUCGCGCGAUUGGAGCGGCCGAUGUCAGAUUAGGUAGUUGGUGGGGUAAAGGCUCACCAAGCCAACGAUCUGUAGCUGGUCUGAGAGGACGACCAGCCACACUGGAACUGAGACACGGCCCAGACUCCUACGGGAGGCAGCAGUGGGGAAUUUUAGACAAUGGGGGAAACCCUGAUCCAGCCAUGCCGCGUGCGGGAAGAAGGCC